Molecule: ribosomal RNA, 153 nt
Filed under: Sphenodon punctatus (tuatara)
Lineage: Eukaryota; Metazoa; Chordata; Lepidosauria; Sphenodontia; Sphenodontidae
Description: 5.8S ribosomal RNA (ENSSPUG00000002983.1)
Rfam family: 5.8S ribosomal RNA
About the family: 5.8S ribosomal RNA (5.8S rRNA) is a component of the large subunit of the eukaryotic ribosome.
Source: Rfam by way of RNAcentral
CACUCUGGGCAGUGGAUGACCUGGCCCGUGUGUCUCCUAAGAAUGCAGCUAGCUGUAGGAGUUAUCGUGACUGGCAGGAGACAUUGAUUACUGACAGUUUGAAUGCACUUGUGGCCCCAGGUUCAUCUUGAGACUAUGCCUGUCUGAGUGUCG